GAUGAACGCUGGCGGCGUGCCUAAUACAUGCAAGUCGAGCGAACAGACGAGGAGCUUGCUCCUCUGACGUUAGCGGCGGACGGGUGAGUAACACGUGGAUAACCUACCUAUAAGACUGGGAUAACUUCGGGAAACCGGAGCUAAUACCGGAUAACAUGUUGAACCGCAUGGUUCAACAGUGAAAGACGGUCUUGCUGUCACUUAUAGAUGGAUCCGCGCCGCAUUAGCUAGUUGGUAAGGUAACAGCUUACCAAGGCAACGAUGCGUAGCCGACCUGAGAGGGUGAUCGGCCACACUGGAACUGAGACACGGUCCAGACUCCUACGGGAGGCAGCAGUAGGGAAUCUUCCGCAAUGGGCGAAAGCCUGACGGAGCAACGCCGCGUGAGUGAAGAAGGUCUUCGGAUCGUAAAACUCUGUUAUUAGGGAAGAACAAAUGUGUAAGUAACUAUGCACGUCUUGACGGUACCUAAUCAGAAAGCCACGGCUAACUACGUG
Molecule: ribosomal RNA, 497 nt
Filed under: uncultured bacterium
Lineage: Bacteria
Description: partial 16S ribosomal RNA
Rfam family: Bacterial small subunit ribosomal RNA
Source: RNAcentral